Molecule: long non-coding RNA, 808 nt
Filed under: Helianthus annuus (common sunflower)
Lineage: Eukaryota; Viridiplantae; Streptophyta; Magnoliopsida; Asterales; Asteraceae
Description: hypothetical non coding rna
Source: RNAcentral
UGGGUUCUGGUCGAUCGAACAAGAGAGCAGGGAAAGGGGUGAAACCCUAACUUCAAGAAAUCAAGAAUUGAACUUGAAUCAAAGGAGAAAUCUAAUGCAUGAAGCCCUAAAUGCGUGCAUAAAGGAAGAAGGUUCCAGCACUAAGAAAUCGGAAAGCUCUCAAGAUCGAGGUAAAUCCUCAAUUUAGGCGACUUAGCAAAUUGGAGCGAGCACGUGUUCAUGUCAUGUCAUACCAAGCGCUUCCGCUAGUUGUACUAAUGUUUUUGGUCUUGCAUAACCUUGUUAGUAGUCAUACUUUUCAAAACUCGUGUCUAGUCGAACGGGUCGUAGAUAUUAUCGUUUGAAUGUUGUAUAAAACAGGGAUCCACUCGUCUUACGGACGGGUCAUGCCCAAAUUUUGUUAAAAAUGUUACUAGUGUUAGUAUUGAAAUCUUUAAAUCGAGCAAAGUUGGGACGUUUUAAAAGUUUAUAUUUUUAAUUUGUCCUUUGUAUGUUAUUUUAUUAACAUAAAAAGCGGGUCUAACAAGACUAGCCCAAUUGGUAGAGCCACAUGCCUGUUAUGAGAGAGGUCUCAAAAUCAAACCUGAGCAAAGGGAAUAUUUUAGAGUAAUUGGUGUAAAAGUAGAGUGAGUAACAUUUGCCGUUAACAAAAAAUAAACUAGUUAGUGCGCAUUUAUUAAACUAGUUAAGCUAAGUGUUGUGAUUUCAUAAAUUAUCACUAUCGUAGGCAUGAGCUCUUACUCAUUUUUUUCCACCGUUAAUGCGUAAUGAUUUUCCAAAUUUUCAUACUUACUAAAAAUAAUAUUAA